AUGUAUGCCAAAUGUUGGAAAUCAGACCGAAGUUGGAAUAUCAAUUCCAUUCUAGCCUUUAUUAUUCCAAACAAACAUUGCAUUAGGCUUACAAAAUAUCUAUUACAGAUCUUGUGCUACUUGGUGGAUAAGUAUUUUAUAAACUCAAAAUGAGCAUAAGGUGCUCUUGUAUGCAUUUUGAAUUCCGUCAUAUUAACUUUGGGCAUCUGUAUCCAACACUUUGUUGUGGAAAAGAAAUAGAUAAGCUAAACAAUUGUUAUUUUUUUUUCCAGAUCCAAAUACACAUAUAUUAUGGAUAGAGAAUGCAAUGCAAAUUGAAGGCUGUCCAUGACAUCGAAGCAGGUGAGGAACUGCGGAUCUGCUAUAUUGAUGUUAGCAUGGGUUAUGAGGCUCGGACAGAAAAUUCUUGCUGAAAGGUUUUGGUUUCAAGUGUAGCUGUCUUCGGUGCUUAUCUGGGCGAAUAACAAGCAUUUUUCUUAUAUUUUAAUAGGAUGAUCUUACACUCCAAGAGGAUUAAAAGUACUGAAGGCCGGCUAACAGCAAAGCCCAGGACUCCUGAAGGGAUCACUGGAUCAAACAGAGCAUGGCAUUUCUUUAUCUCCAAUAGCUCUUUUUUGUUAAUGCUUCUCUGAAGCCUAG
This is a non-coding RNA of Phoenix dactylifera (date palm), 639 nucleotides long. Lineage: Eukaryota; Viridiplantae; Streptophyta; Magnoliopsida; Arecales; Arecaceae. The record is from RefSeq and is a predicted model, not a curated record.